AGAGUUUGAUUCUGGCUCAGGAUGAACGCUAGCGACAGGCUUAACACAUGCAAGUCGAGGGGCAGCACAGGUAGCAAUACCGGGUGGCGACCGGCGCACGGGUGAGUAACGCGUAUGCAACUUGCCUAUCAGAGGGGGAUAACCCGGCGAAAGUCGGACUAAUACCGCAUGAAGCAGGGGCCCCGCAUGGGGAUAUUUGCUAAAGAUUCAUCGCUGAUAGAUAGGCAUGCGUUCCAUUAGGCAGUUGGCGGGGUAACGGCCCACCAAACCGACGAUGGAUAGGGGUUCUGAGAGGAAGGUCCCCCACAUUGGUACUGAGACACGGACCAAACUCCUACGGGAGGCAGCAGUGAGGAAUAUUGGUCAAUGGCCGAGAGGCUGAACCAGCCAAGUCGCGUGAGGGAUGAAGGUUCUAUGGAUCGUAAACCUCUUUUAUAAGGGAAUAAAGUGCGGGACGUGUCCCGUUUUGUAUGUACCUUAUGAAUAAGGAUCGGCUAACUCCGUGCCAGCAGCCGCGGUAAUACGGAGGAUCCGAGCGUUAUCCGGAUUUAUUGGGUUUAAAGGGUGCGUAGGCGGCCUUUUAAGUCAGCGGUGAAAGUCUGUGGCUCAACCAUAGAAUUGCCGUUGAAACUGGGGGGCUUGAGUAUGUUUGAGGCAGGCGGAAUGCGUGGUGUAGCGGUGAAAUGCAUAGAUAUCACGCAGAACCCCGAUUGCGAAGGCAGCCUGCCAAGCCAUUACUGACGCUGAUGCACGAAAGCGUGGGGAUCAAAAGGGAUUAGAUACCCUGGUAGUCCACGCAGUAAACGAUGAUCACUAGCUGUUUGCGAUACACUGUAAGCGGCACAGCGAAAGCGUUAAGUGAUCCACCUGGGGAGUACGCCGGCAACGGUGAAACUCAAAGGAAUUGACGGGGGCCCGCACAAGCGGAGGAACAUGUGGUUUAAUUCGAUGAUACGCGAGGAACCUUACCCGGGUUUGAACGCAUUCGGACCGAGGUGGAAACACCUUUUCUAGCAAUAGCCGUUUGCGAGGUGGUGCAUGAUUGUCGUCAGCUCGUGCCGUGAGGUGUCGGCUUAAGUGCCAUAACGAGCGCAACCCUUGCCACUAGUUACUAACAGGUGAUGCUGAGGACUCUGGUGGGACUGCCAGCGUAAGCUGCGAGGAAGGCGGGGAGGACGUCAAAUCAGCACGGCCCUUACAUCCGGGGCGACACACGUGUUACAAUGGCGUGGACAAAGGGAUGCCACCUGGCGACAGGGAGCGAAUCCCCAAACCACGUCUCAGUUCGGAUCGGAGUUUGCAACCCGACUCCGUGAAGCUGGAUUCGCUAGUAAUUGCGCAUCAGCCAUGGCGCGGUGAAAAAAUUCCCGGGCCUUGU
This 1378-nucleotide ribosomal RNA is filed under the name uncultured bacterium. Its description in RNAcentral is "bacterial SSU rRNA". It matches the Rfam family "Bacterial small subunit ribosomal RNA", at positions 8 to 1384 of the family's 1533-position model. The record is from RNAcentral.